This is a non-coding RNA of Macaca mulatta (Rhesus monkey), 2196 nucleotides long. Lineage: Eukaryota; Metazoa; Chordata; Mammalia; Primates; Cercopithecidae. The record is from RefSeq and is a predicted model, not a curated record.
CCUUCAUCUUUUCCAUGCCGUGUGUGUUCACCCUGGCCCUCCCAGCAGCCUGGGAAGGGCAGAACACUGCACAUACAAGAGGGCCGUUCCCAGUCCCCACAUUCCAGAUUCAUCUGUCACCAGACCCACGAGAGGAGGCAGACUGGUUCCAGGAGGAUGAGAGCCCUUGUUCUGACACCUGUGUCUGAUUCCAGUGAUUCCAGGGCCUACAAAUCCUCUCUGGACUACACCAAACGAAGUCUGGGAAUUUUCAUUGACCUCUAGAAGAAAGAGAAGGAGGCACAUGCCUGGCUGCAAGCAGGGAAGAUCUAUUACAUCCUGCGACAGAGUGAGCUGGUGGACCUGUACAUCCAGGUGGCACAGAAUGUGGCCCUGUACACAGGCGACCCCAACCUGGGGCUGGAGCUGUUUGAGGCAGCUGGAGACAUCUUCUUCAAUGGGGCCUGGGAGCGGGAGGAAGGCCUGUCCUUCUACCGGGACCGGGCCCUGCCCCUGGCAGUGACUACAGGCAACCGCAGGGUGGAGCUGCAGCUACAGCUGUGCAACAAGCUGGUGUCACUGCUGGCCACACUGGAGGAGCCCCAGGAGGACUUGGAGUUUGCCUACAUGGCCCUAGCACUCAGCAUCACUGUGGGUGCGUCCCCUGAGCCCCCGCCCUGCCAGGACCCACACUUUGCCAGAGCCCAGCCUCCAGGUCUGCAGGCCAGGAGCUGAAACAGCUACUGGAUUUUCCUGGUCUCCUGUCCAGGCAGGCAGCUCUGCCCAACUGGCUUCCCCGUCCGGCUGUGGGGCACAGCCCGAGGUCUCUCAUGCAGUGCAGAGCUUCCUGCCUGACUGAGCUCUGCUUCCUCUGCCUGUUCCCGCUGCUGACCACAAGGGCCGCCCAGUGUGCCCUCUGCCUUCCAGACAUCCCAGGCAUCUCGUUGGUCCCUGUAUGUGUCAGGCUGAGUGGCACAUUCCCUUUCUCUUGUGCCCUUCCCACCGUCAUCAACCACACGGCUCUCUGGCUGAUAAAAUCCCAGUUCCCCUUCCAGCAGUCUGCCCCUUAAGGCCGUGCAUCCCCUGGUGCUGUGCCAGGGUCGUCUGUCCCCCUGCAGAGACAGGGAACCCUAGGCAGGCCACAUGCCCCAGCGCCUUGUGCCCCAUGGCCCAGUACACAGUAGGUGUGCAGCUGACUCCCCAAGGUAGGGGGAUCUGAUCAUGACACACCCAGGAGGAGUCGGAUGUCACGUCUGUGGGUUGCCUGGAGCCGGGGAGCCCGGGAGCACCUGCACUGCAUGGCUUUUGGGCUCCCCUGGUUAAAACCAGUGAGCAAAGGCAGGUGGCUAUGUGUAGGCACAGAACUGGGCCAUCCAAGUCCGACUUUGCCAAAGCCUCUCAGUAGACAGGGGCAGGCCUUAUUAGUUCUGCUUUGCAGAUGGAAAAGUGAGUCUGGGAACCUGGAAGGGAAUGGCCAGAGCUGCCCAGGUGACCACAGGUGCCUGGAGACAAGCCACGUGUGCUGCCUGGGGGUCUGUAUACCUGCUCCUGAGGGGCAUGUUCCCUCCCUGCCCCAGAGAGCCACAUCCUCACACCUGCCCCUUUGGCCUGCACCCCAGGGGACCGGCCGAACGAGCGUGUGGCCUACCACCGGCUGGCCGCCCUGCACCACCGGCUGGGCCAUGGCAAGCUGGGGGAGCACUUCUACCUCAAGGCCGUUUAGCUCUGCAACUCGCCGCUGGAGUUCGACCAGGAGACCCUCUACUAUGUGAAGGUGUACCUGGUGCUCAGUGACAUCAUCUUCUACGACCUGAAGGAUCCAUUUGAUGUAGCCGGGUACUACCAGCUGGCACUGGCAGCCGCCGUGGACCUGGGCAACAAGAAGGUACAGCUGAAGAUCUACACGCGGCCGAUCACCAUCUCCCACAACUUCCUCCUGGACUGCGAGAAGUGGCUCUUCUACCAGAAGGCCAGGACCUUCGCCACAGAGCUCAGUGUCCACAGGGUCAACCUACCUCCUCUGCCACUCUGCGGGUGGGCCCCCUGGUUGGCCUCCAGCCACCCUCGCUGAGGACAGUAUCCGAGGGAGUGGGUUUUGUGCAAGGAGGAUGAUCUCCUGCCUCUCCUGGUGUCUCCCGUAGCUCGUUUUCUGGGUAAUGGAAGCAUAAAAGCAGGGUUCAAAUAGCAAUAAAUGGUUUUUUUUUUUGCAAAAACAUA